UACGUAGGGUGCAAGCGUUAAUCGGAAUUACUGGGCGUAAAGCGCGUGUAGGCAGCUCGGAAAGUCGGAUGUGAAAGCCCUGGGCUCAACCUAGGAAGUGCAUUCGAAACUUCCGAGCUGGAGUGCUGGAGAGGAAGGCGGAAUUCUCGGUGUAGAGGUGAAAUUCGUAGAUAUCGAGAGGAACACCGGUGGCGAAGGCGGCCUUCUGGACAGUUACUGACGCUGAGACGCGAAAGCGUGGGGAGCAAACAGG
This 253-nucleotide ribosomal RNA is filed under the name uncultured bacterium. Its description in RNAcentral is "partial 16S ribosomal RNA". It matches the Rfam family "Bacterial small subunit ribosomal RNA", at positions 524 to 776 of the family's 1533-position model. The record is from RNAcentral.